UGCGUAGGUGGUUUAAUAAGUUAAAAGUGUAAUACCAGGGCUUAACUCGGGUGCUGCUUCUAAAACUGUUAGGCUUGAGUGUAGUAGAGGAAAGCGGAAUUCAAUGUGUAGCGGUGGAAUGCGUAGAUAUAUUGAAGAACAUUAGUGGCGAAGGCGGCUUUCUGGACUAUAACUGACACUGAGGCACGAAAGCGUGGGGAGCAAACA
Molecule: ribosomal RNA, 207 nt
Filed under: uncultured bacterium
Lineage: Bacteria
Description: partial 16S ribosomal RNA
Rfam family: Bacterial small subunit ribosomal RNA
Source: RNAcentral